This 161-nucleotide unclassified non-coding RNA is filed under the name Mycobacterium intracellulare. RNAcentral describes it as "16S-23S ribosomal RNA intergenic spacer". The record is from RNAcentral. Lineage: Bacteria; Bacillati; Actinomycetota; Actinomycetes; Mycobacteriales; Mycobacteriaceae.
CUAAGGAGCACCACGAAAAGCACUCCAAUUGGUGGGGUGCGAGCCGUGAGGGGUUCCCGUCUGUAGUGGACGGGGGCCGGGUGCACAACAGCAAAUGAUUGCCAGACACACUAUUGGGCCCUGAGACAACACUCGGUCGAUCCGUGUGGAGUCCCUCCAUC